Molecule: ribosomal RNA, 238 nt
Filed under: uncultured bacterium
Lineage: Bacteria
Description: partial 16S ribosomal RNA
Rfam family: Bacterial small subunit ribosomal RNA
Source: RNAcentral
UGAGCAAUCUGCCCUUCUCUUUGGAAUAAGCGUUGGAAACGACGUCUAAUGCCGAAUACGACCUCCUUUCGCAUGAUCGGAGGUGGAAAGCUCCGGCGGAGAAGGAUGAGCUCGCGGCCUAUCAGCUAGUUGGUGUGGGUAAUGGCCCACCAAGGCGACGACGGGUAGCCGGCCUGAGAGGGUGACCCGGCCACACUGGGACUGAGACACGGCCCAGACCUCCGUACGGGAGGNAGCG